GAAGUGUUUACUCAAUGGUAGAGUGCAUGCUUAGCAAGCAGGAAGCCUUAGGUUUAAUCCUAAGUACCUCA
This 71-nucleotide transfer RNA is filed under the name Neotoma lepida (desert woodrat). It matches the Rfam family "tRNA". Rfam says of the family: Transfer RNA (tRNA) molecules are approximately 80 nucleotides in length. Their secondary structure includes four short double-helical elements and three loops (D, anti-codon, and T loops). Lineage: Eukaryota; Metazoa; Chordata; Mammalia; Rodentia; Cricetidae. The record is from Rfam by way of RNAcentral.